AAACUUCUCCAAUUUAGCCAUGCUAGUCNGUACGAGUUUACACUCGUAGCGAAUAGCUCAGUAACACGUGGCCAAACUACCCUUCGGAGCACCAUACCCUCGGGAAACUGAGGCUAAUAGUGCAUACCACAGUCCACCUGGAAUGAGGACUGUGCCAAACGCUCCGGCGCCGAAGGAUGUGGCUGCGGCCGAUUAGGUAGACGGUGGGGUAACGGCCCACCGUGCCAAUAAUCGGUACGGGUCAUGAGAGUGAGAACCCGGAGACGGAAUCUGAGACAAGAUUCCGGGCCCUACGGGGCGCAGCAGGCGCGAAACCUUUACACUGCACGCCAGUGCGAUAAGGGACCCCGAGUGCGAGGGGCAUACAGUCCUCGCUUUUCACGACCGUAGGGAGGUCGUGGAAUAAGAGCUGGGCAAGACCGGUGCCAGCCGCCGCGGUAAUACCGGCAGCUCGAGUGAUGGCCGAUUUUAUUGGGCCUAAAGCGUCCGUAGCCGGCCACACAAGUCCAUCGGGAAAUCCGCCAGCCCAACUGGCGGGCGUCCGGUGGAAACUGUGUGGNUCGGGACCGGAAGACCCAACAGGUACGUCUUGGGUAGGAGUGAAAUCCUGUAAUCCUGGACGGACCACCGAUGGCGAAAAGCAUGUUGGGAAGACGGAUCCCACGGUGAGGGGACNAAAGCCAAGGGUNUCGAACCGGAUUAGAUACCCGGGUAGUCCUGGCCNUAAACAAUGUNUGCUAGG
Molecule: ribosomal RNA, 742 nt
Filed under: uncultured archaeon
Lineage: Archaea
Description: bacterial SSU rRNA
Rfam family: Archaeal small subunit ribosomal RNA
Source: RNAcentral